CCCCUUGUCGACAACCUCUUUGAAUUUCAAAGAAUUCAGAUAAAAAACAAUUUUGAGAAACUGCAGAACUUAUAUUUUUGUAAAAGGUUCUUACCCAUUGUUUUAUAGAGGGGCCAAAAUUGAAAAAGUCUAAAACGUCUUCAAUGAAAUUCCAUGAUACAGAAUCAAAAGCUUUUUCAAAAUCUAUGAGAAGGAGCAGUCCUGGUAAAUCAUUUAGUUCUGUAUGAAAUAAUAUAUCGUAAAUAAGACGAGUAUUCUCCCCUAUAAAUCUACCCGGAAUAAAGCCAGUCUGAUCACUGUUAAUAAUUUGAGGUAGAACUAAUUUUAUACGCUCAGCUAUGCAGCUUGAUGCUAAUUUAUAUGUGGUAUUUAGUAAACUUAUUGGGCGCCAGUUUUUCAUGAAUUGUCUCGGUUUAUCUCCCUUUGGUAUACAGGUUAUAAUACCUUGUCUUUGAGUAAUUGAUAAUUCCCCUUUUCGUAACCAUUAAUUAUAGAACGAAAUACAAAUUUUCCUAUAUCUAUCCAAAAAAACUUGAAAAAUUCAUUUGUGAAACCAUCUGACCCAGGGCUUUUUUCAUUUUUUCAUUUUUCGCAAAGCAGUUGUCAAUUCACCAUAAGUAAUUUCACCCUCCAAAGAUUCUCUAAUGGUAUUAUUUAUUUUUUUAAUAUCAGUAUCAGGGAUUUCAUUGUUUAGGUUAACAUUAUUCAAACUUUCUGUUUUAGUAUAUAGCCUUUUGUAAUAAUUGUUUGCUUCUUUUAAUAUUUUAUCUUGCUCACUGAUAGUGUCCCCUUUUUCAUUGACUAAUUUUGGAAUAGUUUUUAUUUAUAAAAUGUUUAGUUUCUAAAUUUAGAAAAAAAGUUUGAAGGUUUUUCUCCUUCUUCUAUCCAUUGGAUUUUGGAUCUGAUGUAGGACCCCCUCAUCUUUUCUUGUCUUAAUACUUUUAGAUCAGUUUUCUUUUUUUCAGUUUCAAUAAAUAUUUCUUCCGUCAAUAUUUGUUCUUCUAGUUUUUUAAUAUCUUCUGAUAGUAUUCUUUCUUUUUUAUCUUUUUGUUUCUUCCUAAAAGAAGCAUAUGAAAUUGAUUUUCCUCUAAUUUCUGUUAAUAAAGUUUCUAGAAAGAGUUGAUCGUUUAUAGUAAAUUGAAUUUCUAAGUCAUUUAUCUUUUCUAAUGUUUCUCUCUUGUAUACUAGUGAUGCGUAUUGUUCUUUAACUUUAUUUAUAGUCUCUUU
This 1227-nucleotide long non-coding RNA is filed under the name Mytilus galloprovincialis (Mediterranean mussel). The record is from RNAcentral. Lineage: Eukaryota; Metazoa; Mollusca; Bivalvia; Mytilida; Mytilidae.